AACGCACGAGACCUGCGGACCUGCGGAAGGAUCAUUAACGAGUGUAACUUACCCUUUUUUUUAAAAGAGGGUAGUACCUCCUGUCCUUUGUAGGCCCCUUUUUAUUGGGGGGCUUUUUAAGACUUUCUGCUUCGGCGGGGUUAUUCCCGCCGGAACACCCUCAAAAAACUCUUCAAAAACUAAUUCAGUCCGAGAAUUUUUGAAAAUAAAAAAAACUUUCAGCAACGGAUCUCUAGAUCG
RNAcentral lists this unclassified non-coding RNA (240 nucleotides) under soil metagenome. RNAcentral describes it as "partial contains 5.8S ribosomal RNA, internal transcribed spacer 2, and large subunit ribosomal RNA". The record is from RNAcentral.